Molecule: ribosomal RNA, 1188 nt
Filed under: metagenome
Description: bacterial SSU rRNA
Rfam family: Eukaryotic small subunit ribosomal RNA
Source: RNAcentral
AGUCUGGUGCCAGCAGCCGCGGUAAAACCAGCUCCAAUAGCGUAUAUUAAAGUUGUUGCAGUUAAAAAGCUCGUAGUUGGAUAUCUGGUACGAAUGCCUGGCCCGCCUCUCACGAGUGUGUGUGCCGGUGCAAUCGUGCCAUCCUUCUGAGAAGUGCUACUGCGAUUAAGUUCGCGGAAGUGCGACUCGGAUCUUUUACUUUGAAAAAAUUAGAGUGUUCAAAGCAGGCGUUUGCUUGAAUACAUUAGCAUGGAAUAAUAAAAUAGGACUCCGUUCCUAUUUUGUUGGCUUAUAGGUCGGAGUAAUGAUUAAAAGGGACAGUUGGGGGUGCUUGUAUUGAGCGGCCAGAGGUGAAAUUCUUAGAUUCGCUCAAGACAAACUUAUGCGAAAGCAUUCACCAAGGAUGUCUUCUUUAAUCAAGAACGAAAGUUGGGGGAUCGAAGACGAUCAGAUACCGUCGUAGUCUCAACCAUAAACUAUGCCAACUAAGGAUCAGCGGACGUUUUCGGGCUCCGUUGGCACUUUAUGAGAAAUCAAAGUCAUUGGGUUCUGGGGGGAGUCUGGUCGCAAGGCUGAAACUUAAAGGAAUUGACGGAAGGGCACCACAACGGCGUGGAGCCUGCGGCUUAAUUUGACCCAACACGGGGAAAUUUACCAGGUCCGGACAUAGUAAGGAUUGACAGAUUGCAGAUCUUUCUUGAUUCUAUGGAUGGUGGUGCAUGGCCGUUCUUAGUUGGUGGAGUGAUUUGUCUGGUUAAUUCCGUUAACGAACGAGACCUCAGCCUACUAAAUAGUCAGGAUAACACUUGUGUUGUCUAUGACUUCUUAGAGGGACCGUCGGUUUCUAGCCGACUGAAGUGUGAGGCAAUAACAGGUCUGUGAUGCCCUUAGAUGUUCUGGGCUGCACGCGCGCUACACUGUUGCACUCAACAAGCAUCAUCCUUGAUCGACAGGUCUGGGUAAUCUUUGAAAGUGCAACGUGCUGGGGCUAGACCAUUGCAAUUAUUGGUCUUCAACCAGGAAUGCCUAGUAAACGCGGGUCAUCAGCUCGCAUUGAUUACGUCCCUGCCCUUUGUACACACCGCCCGUCGCUCCUACCGAUUGAAUGAUCCGGUAAAAUCUUCGGACUGUGAAGCUAGGGUGGGCAACCACUUUAGUUUUAUGGAAGUUGAUUAAACCUUAUCAUUU